UGGGGAAUAUUGCACAAUGGGCGCAAGCCUGAUGCAGCCAUGCCGCGUGUGUGAAGAAGGCCUUCGGGUUGUAAAGCACUUUCAGCGAGGAGGAAGGUGGUGAACUUAAUACGUUCAUCAAUUGACGUUACUCGCAGAAGAAGCACCGGCUAACUCCGUGCCAGCAGCCGCGGUAAUACGGAGGGUGCAAGCGUUAAUCGGAAUUACUGGGCGUAAAGCGCACGCAGGCGGUUUUGUUAAGUCAGAUGUGAAAUCCCCGGGCUCAACCUGGGAACUGCAUUUGAAACUGGCAAGCUAGAGUCUCGUAGAGGGGGGUAGAAUUCCAGGUGUAGCGGUGAAAUGCGUAGAGAUCUGGAGGAAUACCGGUGGCGAAGGCGGCCCCCUGGACGAAGACUGACGCUCAGGUGCGAAAGCGUGGGGAGCAAACAGAUUAGAUACCCUGGUAGUCCACGCUGUAAACGAUGUCGAUUUUGGAGGUUGUGCCCUUGAGGCGUGCUUCCGGAGCUAACGCGUUAAA
Molecule: ribosomal RNA, 517 nt
Filed under: uncultured bacterium
Lineage: Bacteria
Description: partial 16S ribosomal RNA
Rfam family: Bacterial small subunit ribosomal RNA
Source: RNAcentral